Molecule: ribosomal RNA, 435 nt
Filed under: uncultured Lachnospiraceae bacterium
Lineage: Bacteria; Bacillati; Bacillota; Clostridia; Lachnospirales; Lachnospiraceae
Description: partial 16S ribosomal RNA
Rfam family: Bacterial small subunit ribosomal RNA
Source: RNAcentral
ACGGAAGGCAGCAGUGGGGAAUAUUGCACAAUGGGGGAAACCCUGAUGCAGCGACGCCGCGUGAGUGAAGAAGUUAUUCGUAAUGUAAAGCUCCAUCAGCAGGGAAGAAAAUGACGGUACCUGACUAAGAAGCCCCGGCUAACUACGUGCCAGCAGCCGCGGUAAUACGUAGGGGGCAAGCGUUAUCCGGAUUUACUGGGUGUAAAGGGAGUGUAGGUGGUCUGGCAAGCCAGAUGUGAAAGCCCGGGGCUCAACCCCGAGGACUGCAUUUGGAACUGUCGGACUUGAGUGCAGGAGAGGAAAGUGGAAUUCCUAGUGUAGCGGUGAAAUGCGUAGAUAUUAGGAGGAACACCAGUGGCGAAGGCGGCUUUCUGGACUGUAACUGACACUGAGGCUCGAAAGCGUGGGGAGCAAACAGGAUUAGAUACCCUGGUA